GUGAAUCAUCAAAUCUUUGAACGCAAAUUGCACUCUCCUCUAAUAGUAUGCCUGUUUGAGUGUCAGCCUAAAAUAAAUCAACAUCGUUGCUGUUCCUCGGUGUCGGUCAUCGGAAAUUUGGUUAUCUUAAACCUUUUUGUUUAAGCGUCUUAUGUUUUGCCUUUUGAUUCCAUGAACGUUUCUAAGAUUUAUUUCUUUACACGUUUAAGGUAUCGAUUUUUAUUAGACGUGGCCGUCAUAUCUGGUCGCGUCUAUAAUAUUUCUCUAACUGACCUCAU
This 278-nucleotide unclassified non-coding RNA is filed under the name Glomus sp. RNAcentral's name for it is "partial internal transcribed spacer 2". The stretch from base 1 to 65 matches the Rfam family "5.8S ribosomal RNA", at positions 84 to 154 of the family's 154-position model. The record is from RNAcentral. Lineage: Eukaryota; Fungi; Glomeromycota; Glomeromycetes; Glomerales; Glomeraceae.